UACGGAAGGGGCAAGCGUUGUUCGGAAUCAUUGGGCGUAAAGGGCGCGUAGGUGGUUCUGUAUGUCUACCGUGAAAGCGUACGGCUCAACCGUAUUUUGUCGGUGGAAACUGCAGGACUUGAGGCUGGGAGGGCUGGUGGAAUUCCCUGUGUAGCGGUGAAAUGCGUAGAGAUGGGGGAGAACACUCGUGGCGAAGGCGGCCAGCUAGACCAGUUCUGACACUGAGGCGCGACAGCGUGGGGAGCAAACAGG
RNAcentral lists this ribosomal RNA (252 nucleotides) under uncultured bacterium. Its description in RNAcentral is "partial 16S ribosomal RNA". It matches the Rfam family "Bacterial small subunit ribosomal RNA", at positions 524 to 776 of the family's 1533-position model. The record is from RNAcentral.